This 429-nucleotide ribosomal RNA is filed under the name Bacteroidota bacterium. Its description in RNAcentral is "Bacteroidetes bacterium partial 16S ribosomal RNA". It matches the Rfam family "Bacterial small subunit ribosomal RNA", at positions 355 to 776 of the family's 1533-position model. Lineage: Bacteria; Pseudomonadati; Bacteroidota. The record is from RNAcentral.
UAGGGAAUCUUCCGCAAUGGACGCAAGUCUGACGGAGCAACGCCGCGUGAGUGAAGAAGGAUUUCGGUUCGUAAAACUCUGUUGUUAGAGAAGAACAGCGCAUAGAGUAACUGUUAUGCGUGUGACGGUAUCUAACCAGAAAGCCACGGCUAACUACGUGCCAGCAGCCGCGGUAAUACGUAGGUGGCAAGCGUUGUCCGGAUUUAUUGGGCGUAAAGCGAGCGCAGGCGGUCAAUUAAGUCUGAUGUGAAAGCCCCCGGCUCAACCGGGGAGAAUCAUUAGAAACUGGUUAACUUGAGUGCAGAAGAGGAGGGUGGAAUUCCAUGGGUAGCGGUGAAAUGCGUAGAUAUAUGGAGGAACGCCAGUGGCGAAGGCGACUAUCUGGUCUGUAACUGACGCGGAGGCUCGAAAGCGUGGGUAGCAAACAGG